CAGCUGCAGGCCCCGGAGGGGAGAUGCCAGAGGAUGGACGGGGCCACCUUCUUGGGGUUCGGCCGGUGAUAAUACACAGACUCUGUUCCCACGUACCCCCCCCCCACGCGUUCACAGAUGACCUAUUUACAGGGCACCAGGAACCGAACUGGGGGCCUCCCGUGUGGGAGGCGGGUGCUCAACCGCUGGAGCCAGGGAGGGCCUCACACACCUGGAGAAGAAAGACAGGGUGGCAGCGAGGGAGGCGAGCUGAGCCGAUAAAUGCGAGACAAAUACCCAGAUGCGUGCAGAGUUCUCCCGUGUUCUUGUCAGGUUCUGGAAGAAGCAGAACGCACAGCCGGAACUGGACCCGCUACAGGAUUUGUGGGAUCCGGGGCAAAAUGCAAACGCGGGGCCCCUUGGUCAGAAGUUAUUUAGGGGAAGUGGACUUGGCCCAGUGGUUAGGGCAUCCGCCUACCACAUGGGAGGUCCGUGGUUCAAACCCUGGGCCUCCUUGACCCGUGUGGAGCUGGCCAUGCGCAGUGCUGAUGCGCGCAAGGAGUGCCCUGCCACGCAGGGGUGUCCCCGCGUAGGGGAGCCCCACGUGCAAGGAGUGCACCCCGUAAGGAGAGCCGCCCAGCGCGAAGGAAAGCGCAGCCUGCCCAGGAAUGGUGCCGCACACAUGGAGAGCUGACACAGCAAGAUGACGCAACAAAGAGAGACACAGAUUCCCAGUGUCACUGAUAAGGAUAGACGCGGUCACAGAAGAACACAGAGCGAAUGGACACAGAGAGCAGACAACUGCGGGGGGGAAGGGGGAGAAAUAAAUAAAAAUGAAUCUUAAAAAAAAAGUUCUUAGGAUGUCCUGCCGGAAGCAGCAGCAGAGGAGACUCGGGGUGCUUCACAGCUGGGCGCCUGCGAAGCCGGCCCUGCCCCCAGUUCCCGUCCCCAACCCCUUGCCAUGGCGACCAGAUGCUCCUCUGGGCCUCACCUGGGCGAGACUCCCGCACCCCAGUCUGGUGGGGGAGGCAGAAGUGGGCACAGGCACCCCGAGUUCCCCGGAGUUGGGGUGAGCCCGAGGGAAAGGAACCCGGGUUUUGCCUCUGAAGGAGGGCGGGUCAUUUCCAGAAGAAAGGGCAUGUCCUUGCGUAGACGAGCGCAGACAUGCAGCUCAGGGUGAAAAUAAGAAUAAAAGACCCCACUCAGUGCGGCGACUGUGCUCCAGGAUCUUUCUCCACCUUGGGGAACUUUGGGAACUGCCGUCACGCCCGCCGUAGAGAUGGGGAAACCGAGGCACAGAGAGGCCGAGUGGCUUGGCUAAAACCACAGAGCGGGC
RNAcentral lists this long non-coding RNA (1315 nucleotides) under Dasypus novemcinctus (nine-banded armadillo). RNAcentral's name for it is "lncRNA (ENSDNOG00000051499.1)". The record is from RNAcentral. Lineage: Eukaryota; Metazoa; Chordata; Mammalia; Cingulata; Dasypodidae.